UGGGCUUAACCUUCAUUGUUGGGAAACUUCCAUGAUAAUAGUUAAUAUUCCUCAGCUACUGAGGACCUGACAUGCUGGGGACCAGGAAGCAGAAAGAGGAAAAAGGUCCAGAUUGUCACCCGGGAAGGUCUGGAAACACGAAGACACAUCUCAGGCUCCCAUUUCCACAGUUCACCUUGAGAUGAUCAUCUCCUCCAAAUCUACAUCAUUCUCCAAAUGUACAUUCUGUGCUGUGUUCCUGAUCUUGGCCGACGGACCUUCCAUCCCCCUGACUGCCUCCAAGUAGAGACCUGCAUAUCUCCCUCGUGUGCAUCACUAAUUUCUUCUCAUGAAUGACAGACUCCGCACCCAGGUCAACACAGAAACUCAAGAUGCUCCUUUCACUUGAGGGAGGAUCCCGUCUAACGCCUUGGACGUGAGUUGGCGCGAACCAAACCCGCACAGAACAAUCCCCGUGCCCUCUGUGCUCAAGGAGACCCGGAGAACCUGGUAAGCGUGGGCUGAGUGCAGGUGAGUGUGCCCGUGGCCUGUGUGUGCUCGCCAUGCACCAUCAAUGAAUCACAGAUCAGAUAAAACGUGUGCAUCGACUCCCUCCGUCUCCACCAGAGCCCUGGCCAGGAAGAGGCUUUUAUGGCCAUUGUUUUCUUAACGACAACAUCAAGGCUGAUGAUAAGUAUAUUAGCUAUUAUUUAGAUAUAUUGUAUAUUUUCAUAUAUUACGCAUGACCUCAUGUGCAAGGGCUUGGAUACGCGUACAGACAGCGGCAGAGGCGGGCAGAAGACAGAACUGGUAUUCACAACAUGCUCGUGAGCUGUCGGAAAACCCACACGGCUCAGAAUUGUGGAAUCGGGAGGACCUUCCUUCCAGGCAGGAAAGUGCUUUGCCCGGAAUUGUUGUCGGCUUCUCCCUGCAAGUGGCCGUGGCUCUCACAGCCCUGGUGUCUGCGUCCCAGAUUUCCCCCGAGAACUCCGAGUCUAGGGCUUGGUCAUUACAGCACAUCACAGCAGAAGUCCCCUAGGGGUCGGCUGUGCUAACGUCACGCAUUGUGUCCCCGACCAGACCCCCGCAGGGCUGCCCUCAGCCCCCUUGGACACAGCAGGUGGUCACAUGGCAGGCUCCUCAUUCGAAUCUCCGUAUCCUCUGUGCAUUGACAGGCAGAGGCCAUAUAAAGAAUAAAAAGGCACUUUCCAAAAAAAAAAAAAAAAAAAAAGCAAACUGGUGGCAUUCUUGUUGUCCUCAAAGGGGUCUCCCACGUGGAUGUUUGACCGUGAGGUCCGUGCGUGUCCCAGGGGACAUGAUACAGGAAACAAACAAAAGCACCCUCACAAUUAGGGAUAAGGUCUGUUUGUACGUGUGCACCUGCUGCAGGAAACUCGCCCGGAGUUUUUGUUCGCUGUGAAAGAUCUUUGCACCAACGGUUGUCAGGAACCCUGGAGAACAGGAGACAUGUGGCCGCCCCACGCCCUCUCCAGAGGCAAAGACAGACUCGUUCGAAAGCUCAUCUGAAGCACAGUGUCGUCCAGACGGGACCUCCGUGCACCUUCGAGUUUCCCUUCUUCAAACCUGGACGGGCCUGGCGAGCGCGGGGAGGGGGCCCGGGACACGCGUGCAACCUGGGAUGAGCGGUGGGGACCGGGCUGCUGCUCACGUCCGACCCCCCUUCGCAGCCGAGCAGGGACCUCUCUGCAUCAGGGAGACGUGAGACGCGUGCAGGCAGCUGGUCUGACCUGGGAGGCUCUGCGGGGACCUCCGCGCUCAGGCCGAGAAACCAAAGUCUGGGCGGCGCGGUGACGUGUUUGGGGAACCGGAGCGCGUCUGAGCUCUCGCGCCUCCAGUUGUGUCUCCACGACUGCGGGCCUUGCACGCAUGCACCUGCCUCAGCCCAGACACACACACACACACACACACACACACACACACACGCACACCCCUACGUACUUUACAAACUGCUAAACACACAGAACCCACCACAACGUAGUUUGGAAUAUCUCCCCCGGACAGGUGCCAUCAGAAAGUUUGUUCUCUUUUGGUCAAACAUAGCGGCAGUGAGGACUUUGUUUUCUUAUUA
Long non-coding RNA from Lynx canadensis (Canada lynx), 2068 nucleotides. RefSeq lists it as uncharacterized. Lineage: Eukaryota; Metazoa; Chordata; Mammalia; Carnivora; Felidae. The record is from RefSeq and is a predicted model, not a curated record. The transcript has 3 exons.